CCUACGGGUGGCUGCAGUGGGGAAUAUUGGACAAUGGGCGAAAGCCUGAUCCAGCCAUGCCGCGUGUGUGAAGAAGGCCUUCGGGUUGUAAAGCACUUUCAGUGGGGAAGAAAGGCUUGGGGCUAAUACCCUCGAGGAAGGACAUCACCCACAGAAGAAGCACCGGCUAACUCCGUGCCAGCAGCCGCGGUAAUACGGAGGGUGCGAGCGUUAAUCGGAAUUACUGGGCGUAAAGCGCGCGUAGGCGGUCUGAUAAGCCGGUUGUGAAAGCCCCGGGCUCAACCUGGGAACGGCAUCCGGAACUGUCAGGCUAGAGUGCAGGAGAGGAAGGUAGAAUUCCCGGUGUAGCGGUGAAAUGCGUAGAGAUCGGGAGGAAUACCAGUGGCGAAGGCGGCCUUCUGGACUGACACUGACGCUGAGGUGCGAAAGCGUGGGUAGCAAACAGGAUUAGAUACCCCAGGUAGUC
RNAcentral lists this ribosomal RNA (466 nucleotides) under Vreelandella stevensii. Its description in RNAcentral is "partial 16S ribosomal RNA". It matches the Rfam family "Bacterial small subunit ribosomal RNA", at positions 338 to 795 of the family's 1533-position model. Lineage: Bacteria; Pseudomonadati; Pseudomonadota; Gammaproteobacteria; Oceanospirillales; Halomonadaceae. The record is from RNAcentral.